CCAACAAUCAGUUUGCAUCAAACACAUCCAAACCUAGGUUUCAUCCUAGGGGUUGCAUGUCAAUACAAACAAGCAAUCGAAAACCAACUAAUAACCCACAAUCAUAACCCCAAGUAAGCAUCACAAUGCCUCAGCAUCCAAAUAAGAAACAAUCAGAUUGCAUCAUUGACAAAUUAACCAACAAUCAGUUUGCAUCAAACACAUCCAAACCUAGGUUUCAUCCUAGGGGUUGCAUGUCAAUACAAACAAGCAAUCGAAAACCAGCAAAUAACUCAUAAUCAUAACCGCACAUAGUUAGGGUUCAUCCAAACCAACAAUCACAACCUCAGAUUCCAAAUAACCAAAACUCAAAGAGUGAUAGAACCAAAAAUUAUCUGAGCUGGAUUGAGAGAAACUAGGGCUCGAUCUGUGAGCAGAGGAAGGACUUUAGCUGUGUUGCGAUCUCCGACCAAGGGAGAUGCGACGGCGUCAAGCCAGGGCGGCGACCGGCGAUUUCAGACAGAAAAGAUAGGGUUCGACUUCUUUCCUUCAAUUGUGCGCUUCCAGUGAGGGAUUAGAGAGGGAAACCGACACAAAGAGAAAAAGAGGGAUAGAACGGUGAAAAUCAGUCGCCAGAUUUUACAGAAGCGGCGCCGGAGUUUCAGAGAAUGAUUCAUCAGCGGCGGCGGCUCAGACCUCUGCAGUUCGCGGAAGAGAAAGGGAUAGGGGGCCUCAGCGGCGAGGAUGGCGGCGAGGACGGCGGCGCGAAUAGCUAUGCGGCGGCGAGGACCACCGCCUAGUUUGAAGGGAGUAAGGCGGUAGAAGAGAGAAGGAAGAGGAGAGAACGGUGAGAGAGAGAGAGAGAUUUGGGGAGGAGAUGAGACGCAGCGAGGGUGGGCGGCAGCGGCGCGAGGCAGCAGCGAGGGUGGGCGGCGACGGGCCGGCGCGGGGCAGCGGCGCCGGCGGCGGAGUCGAGAGGGAAGAGAGAGAGUCGAGAGACAGACGAACAAAAACUAGG
This 997-nucleotide long non-coding RNA is filed under the name Salvia miltiorrhiza (redroot sage). RNAcentral describes it as "long non-coding RNA (SMIL_LNC011137)". The record is from RNAcentral. Lineage: Eukaryota; Viridiplantae; Streptophyta; Magnoliopsida; Lamiales; Lamiaceae.